Molecule: transfer RNA, 73 nt
Filed under: Bacteroidales bacterium
Lineage: Bacteria; Pseudomonadati; Bacteroidota; Bacteroidia; Bacteroidales
Description: tRNA-Pro
Rfam family: tRNA
About the family: Transfer RNA (tRNA) molecules are approximately 80 nucleotides in length. Their secondary structure includes four short double-helical elements and three loops (D, anti-codon, and T loops). Further hydrogen bonds mediate the characteristic L-shaped molecular structure. tRNAs have two regions of fundamental functional importance: the anti-codon, which is responsible for specific mRNA codon recognition, and the 3' end, to which the tRNAs corresponding amino acid is attached (by aminoacyl-tRNA synthetases). tRNAs cope with the degeneracy of the genetic code in two manners: having more than one tRNA (with a specific anti-codon) for a particular amino acid; and 'wobble' base-pairing, i.e. permitting non-standard base-pairing at the 3rd anti-codon position.
Source: RNAcentral
CGGGAUGUAGCGCAGUUGGUAGCGCACUACGUUCGGGACGUAGAUGUCGCGUGUUCGAGUCACGUCAUCCCGA